RNAcentral lists this ribosomal RNA (271 nucleotides) under uncultured bacterium. RNAcentral describes it as "partial 16S ribosomal RNA". It matches the Rfam family "Bacterial small subunit ribosomal RNA", at positions 793 to 1055 of the family's 1533-position model. The record is from RNAcentral.
GUCCACGCCGUAAACGAUGAUCACUAGAUGUGGGUUUUGCAUAGCAAGAUCUGUGUCGUAGCUAACGCGAUAAGUGAUCCGCCUGAGUAGUACGGUCGCAAGAUUAAAACUCAAAGAAAUUGACGGGGGGUCCGCACAAGCGGUGGAACAUGUGGUUUAAUUCGACACUACGCGAGGAACCUUACCUGGGUUUGACAUGUAACUGCUACCGAUAGAAAUAUUGGGUUCUAUAGCAAUAUAGACGGUUACACAGGUGCUGCAUGGCUGUCGU